AGGUCUAAACGUAUACUAUGGUGAUGACUCCAGCCCAAGCACCCUUCCAAUUAUUUAUGAUCCAUCAUAUCGAUCUCUCGCAGUAUCCAUCUCAAGGAAUGCUGGAAAUCAAACACAGGAGACGAAAAGACAAAUUCCGGUUAGCGAGAAAACGUAAUAAUAAUUACAGUACUAUAUUAGUAGUACGCAUCAAAAAAGAAUGAUGACGGUCCAAAUCAAAACCAAAAGCAGCAAAAAGAAAAAAAGAAAAAAAAAAAAGAAACACUAAGCGCAGCACCUGUUGCAGUUAGUACUAGAAGAGAUGGGGAAAGGCAAGGAGACACCACACCGUCCAGGAAGGCUUGUGGCAGCAUCCGGCUUGAGAUUUGGGAAGUGGCCGGCGGCAGACUUGACGCAGUUGCAUGCAGUUCGCCUAUCUUGUUGGGUAGGGAUGCUCCCCAAGUUUUUCACUCCACUACAGCAUGAACUUGAUGGAGUGCCUCCUUGGGUGAGAUACGGCACGCAAGGCUCAAGUUCGUGGGUAACUUGUUCACAGGUGAUUGCUUCACCUGGCCUUGCCACCAAGACUAGCACCAGAACAAGACUUACCACUGCAACCACCUUCAUCAUGUUUUCGCCGGAUCAACUAGUAGUAUACGAUUUGCGCGGAAUAUACUCGAGUGAGAGGGGU
RNAcentral lists this long non-coding RNA (670 nucleotides) under Coffea arabica (coffee). RNAcentral describes it as "long non-coding RNA (CARA_LNC004834)". Lineage: Eukaryota; Viridiplantae; Streptophyta; Magnoliopsida; Gentianales; Rubiaceae. The record is from RNAcentral.